Molecule: ribosomal RNA, 407 nt
Filed under: uncultured Fusibacter sp.
Lineage: Bacteria; Bacillati; Bacillota; Clostridia; Eubacteriales; Fusibacteraceae
Description: bacterial SSU rRNA
Rfam family: Bacterial small subunit ribosomal RNA
Source: RNAcentral
ACCUGGGCUCAAAUGUAUGUUGACGUAUUCUGAAAGGGAUACUUCUUCGGACAAUAUACAAGGUGCUGCAUGGUUGUCGUCAGCUCGUGCCGUGAGGUGUCGGGUUAAGUCCCGCAACGAGCGCAACCCUUGUGUUUAGUUGCAAACAGGUCAAGCUGUGCACUCUAGACAGACUGCCGUGGACAACACGGAGGAAGGUGGGGAUGACGUCAAAUCAUCAUGCCCCUUAUGAUCUGGGCUACACACGUGCUACAAUGGCCGGUACAACGGGCAGCGAAGGAGCGAUCCGGAGCGAAUCCUAAAAAGCCGGUCCCAGUUCGGAUUGCAGGCUGAAACUCGCCUACAUGAAGUUGGAGUUGCUAGUAAUCGCGAAUCAGAAUGUCGCGGUGAAUGCGUUCCCGGGUCUU